RNAcentral lists this ribosomal RNA (520 nucleotides) under Lactococcus lactis subsp. lactis. RNAcentral's name for it is "bacterial SSU rRNA". It matches the Rfam family "Bacterial small subunit ribosomal RNA", at positions 369 to 881 of the family's 1533-position model. The record is from RNAcentral. Lineage: Bacteria; Bacillati; Bacillota; Bacilli; Lactobacillales; Streptococcaceae.
CAAUGGACGAAAGUCUGACCGAGCAACGCCGCGUGAGUGAAGAAGGUUUUCGGAUCGUAAAACUCUGUUGGUAGAGAAGAACGUUGGUGAGAGUGGAAAGCUCAUCAAGUGACGGUAACUACCCAGAAAGGGACGGCUAACUACGUGCCAGCAGCCGCGGUAAUACGUAGGUCCCGAGCGUUGUCCGGAUUUAUUGGGCGUAAAGCGAGCGCAGGUGGUUUAUUAAGUCUGGUGUAAAAGGCAGUGGCUCAACCAUUGUAUGCAUUGGAAACUGGUAGACUUGAGUGCAGGAGAGGAGAGUGGAAUUCCAUGUGUAGCGGUGAAAUGCGUAGAUAUAUGGAGGAACACCGGUGGCGAAAGCGGCUCUCUGGCCUGUAACUGACACUGAGGCUCGAAAGCGUGGGGAGCAAACAGGAUUAGAUACCCUGGUAGUCCACGCCGUAAACGAUGAGUGCUAGAUGUAGGGAGCUAUAAGUUCUCUGUAUCGCAGCUAACGCAAUAAGCACUCCGCCUGGGGAGA